UUAGGAAUAUUCGUCAAUGGAGGAAACUCUGAACGAGCAAUGCCGCGUGAACGAUGACGGCCCUAUGGGUUGUAAAGUUCUGUUGUUUGGAAAGAACGAUAGAUAGAGGAAAUGCUAUCUAUGUGACGGUACCAUUCAAGAAAGCCACGGCUAACUACGUGCCAGCAGCCGCGGUAAUACGUAGGUGGCGAGCGUUAUCCGGAUUUAUUGGGCGUAAAGGGUGCGCAGACGGUUUAUUAAGUCUAAAAUCAAAUCUUGGGGCUCAACUCCAUUCCGUUUUAGAAACUAGUAGACUUGAGUAUGGUAGAGGCAAAUGGAAUUCCUGGUGUAGCGGUGGAAUGCGUAGAUAUUAGGAGGAACACCAGUGGCGAAGGCGAUUUGCUGGGCCAUUACUGACGUUCAGGCACGAAAGCGUGGGGAGCAAAUAGGAUUAGAUACCCUGGUAGU
RNAcentral lists this ribosomal RNA (447 nucleotides) under uncultured bacterium. Its description in RNAcentral is "bacterial SSU rRNA". It matches the Rfam family "Bacterial small subunit ribosomal RNA", at positions 355 to 794 of the family's 1533-position model. The record is from RNAcentral.